GCUGGGCCUAACAAGUCUCCGUUUCUUACAGCUCAGUACAGGCCUAGUUCGGGCUGCGACACACGUGCCAUCAGAUGAUGAAGAAACUAAAUUCAACCUUUGCUUUUUAUGUAGUUGCUCCUCAGUAUCAGAGCUGUCACCCGGAACUUGGUCUGCCAGGACAGGCUGAAGACUACAAAGGGGAGAAAGACACUCACUUUUCGGAACACAGAAGAAACAAAGCUCAUAAUGUUAUAAAUACCUCAAAAAGAUAAGAGAGCUAGGAGUCCGGUGAUAAUGCACCAGCUGGGAGGUAAAGGCAGGAGAAACAGACAUCACUUGUAAGAUGGGCUACCUGAGACGGUUUCUCAUACUAGAAACAACCAAUGGAGCUUGAAGAUCUCAAUAUAUAUUCCUGGCUAUACUGGAACUUGUUAUAUGGUCAUCAGACUGGCUUCAAACUCACAACCAUCAGCCUACCUGUCCCUUCUGACACUUGGCAGAAUAAAUGGUACUACUGUUGAGGUCUGUCUCUCUA
Mastomys coucha (southern multimammate mouse) is the source of this 517-nucleotide long non-coding RNA. RefSeq lists it as uncharacterized. The transcript is spliced from 3 exons. NCBI's taxonomy places the organism in Eukaryota, Metazoa, Chordata, Mammalia, Rodentia, Muridae. The record is from RefSeq and is a predicted model, not a curated record.